This 466-nucleotide ribosomal RNA is filed under the name uncultured bacterium. RNAcentral describes it as "partial 16S ribosomal RNA". It matches the Rfam family "Bacterial small subunit ribosomal RNA", at positions 28 to 507 of the family's 1533-position model. The record is from RNAcentral.
GAUGAACGCUGGCGGCGUGCUUAACACAUGCAAGUCGAACGAUGAAGCCCAGCUUGCUGGGUGGAUUAGUGGCGAACGGGUGAGUAACACGUGAGUAACCUGCCCUUAACUCUGGGAUAAGCCUGGGAAACUGGGUCUAAUACCGGAUAGGAGCGUCCACCGCAUGGUGGGUGUUGGAAAGAUUUAUCGGUUUUGGAUGGCCUCGCGGCCUAUCAGCUUGUUGGUGAGGUAAUGGCUCACCAAGGCGACGCCGGGUAGCCGGCCUGAGAGGGUGACCGGCCACACUGGGACUGAGACACGGACCAGACUCCUACGGGAGGCAGCAGUGGGGAAUAUUGCACAAUGGGCGCAAGCCUGAUGCAGCGACGCCGCGUGAGGGAUGACGGCCUUCGGGUUGUAAACCUCUUUCAGUAGGGAAGAAGCGAAAGUGACGGUACCUGCAGAAGAAGCACCGGCUAACUACGUG